RNAcentral lists this ribosomal RNA (253 nucleotides) under uncultured bacterium. RNAcentral's name for it is "partial 16S ribosomal RNA". It matches the Rfam family "Bacterial small subunit ribosomal RNA", at positions 524 to 776 of the family's 1533-position model. The record is from RNAcentral.
UACAGAGGGUGCGAGCGUUAAUCGGAAUUACUGGGCGUAAAGCGUGCGUAGACGGUUACGUAAGUCGGGUGUGAAAGCCCCGGGCUCAACCUGGGAAUUGCAUUCGAGACUGCGCAGCUAGGGUGCGGAAGAGGGAAGCGGAAUUUCCGGUGUAGCGGUGAAAUGCGUAGAUAUCGGAAGGAACAUCAGUGGCGAAGGCGGCUCGCUGGGCCACACCUGACGCUGAGACGCGAAAGCUAGGGGAGCGAACAGG